Long non-coding RNA from Manihot esculenta (cassava), 7050 nucleotides. RefSeq lists it as uncharacterized. The transcript has 2 exons. The record is from RefSeq and is a predicted model, not a curated record. NCBI's taxonomy places the organism in Eukaryota, Viridiplantae, Streptophyta, Magnoliopsida, Malpighiales, Euphorbiaceae.
AAAAGCUUCAUUUCUCCAUUAGCCAGAGAGUUUUUUUUUUCUCUCUUUAAUUUAGUCCUUUUUUCGGGUUUAUUAGUGCUUAUGCCUUUUAAAAGCUUUUUUACCCUUCCGGUCUAGGAGCCUCCCUCUUCCCGAUUUGGGUUUUUUCUCCCAUUAUUGAGUGGAGUGUAAAUACUUUCUUGUUUUGAUGUUGUUGGCAAUGAGACUUAGUUGAGAGUUUCUGUUGGGGGUGGAGCAAGGCGGUAGCCCUACUUUUUUAUUUGGAUUACAUAUCGCUCCCCAUUAUCCUAAGUGAAGUAGUCGCUCUAAUCUUAAGAAAGGACUCUUCAUUUCUUUUUGUCGGCUCCUUUCCCACUAAGGUUAGAUUUGCUUAGUUAGUUCACUGUUUUGGUUACUUCUCUUGCUAUUUUUGGAUUGCAUGUUGCCUUCCUUGACUCUGGAUGCAGCCUUGUCUCGAUUCUGAUGUUGAACCCUCGUUUCUCUUUGAUGGUGUGACCUCAGUAAUGGUUAGAUCUAGUUCUUAUUCUUGUUCCUUAUAGUAUUUGAAGCUUUUGGUGGUUGGAGGUUCUUUAUGGGUCUCUAGUCGGUGUUUUUACAAGUUUAUCUUCCUGACUAUGUUCUGAAAUUCUCUUUCUCUUUAAAUGGUCUCCUUCUCCUUCGACUGCCAGUGGUUUUAAAACAUAAGUAGCGCUCCAUAUAUUAUUUUUGGAUCUGUUACUAAGUCAAGUUUUUGGGCUUGGAUGCUAGAAUUCCUUUAGAAAAUUGUCUUUAUUUUCUUUGAGCCUUAAUUAAUCUUGUUGUUUGGCUUGUUACUAUUCAUCAAUCAAUGAACUAGUAUAUUUUAGAUAUUAAACAUGUUUUAAAAGUAAAUAUAAAUUUGAGUAUAUAUUCAAAGUUAGAGACAAAGAUAAGAUUAACCAAAUUUAAAUAAUUACAUUUUUAAUUUUUUUAAUAGUGAUCUAUUUUAUGCAAAUUUUAAAUAUUAAAAAUUAUUUUGCUGUGUUUAUUUUUUUUAAAAUUGAUUUUAUUUUUUGAUGUGGUAGAAAAGGAGCUGAAUUGAUUACUCUGCAAAAGAAAAAAUGUGAGGUAGUUGAUGUAUAUGGGCAACCACUUUGACGUUUAAGUCAGUAAUUAUCAGAAAGAGCGAGUGUAAAUAAGUUGUUUGAACUUAAGAAAAGUAUAUAAGAAUGCGUAUCUUGAACUCUGUGUAUACUUCUUUUAUACUAAAAAAGAUGGAGUUAGUUGGUGAUUUUUCUAGAAAUCCGACUAGUAUCGGCUAGUGGAUAAAAAACCUCACAUUUGUAGACGUAAUGGGGAUAUGUUGUAUAAUCUCUUUUAACGAUAACUUAGGUGACAAGAAAUGCUCGACCAGUAAUAAGAGGACUAGUCUUCAGUCGUUUUGAGCAUUGACCUUUACAAUGACAAGUUCUCCUCUCUCGUGGGUGAGACUUCCGUGCGAAUGUCAUGGUUUAUUAAGGUCUUGCCACGUGACUCUGUCGUAUGGUGACAGCUAAUGGCAUAUUUUGGGGGAAUAUUGUGUCAUAUCAGAAGUCCUCCCAUCAGACUUCGACUCUUCAGAUUCAAAAAUUAUAGCUGUUCUCAUGGUGUUGGACAUGUGACAUGCACAAAUUGAUUCUCCAUAUCCACUUCUUUUCGCCUGUACUAGUCAUCAAUACUGCUUUGCCUUACUUCUCAAGCCACAUUUAGAUCAGCUGUCGAAACAACAAUAUAAAAUCUCCCUUUCGCCUACGAUCACCACUUCUGCUCUGAAAAGAUUAGUACUCUCGGCCUUAGGCUCUUGCAUUUUCUGAAAGUAACUCCUACUUUUGUCUUUUUUCAUACUUUAGAAAUGAACAGGUCCUCUUUGUCUUCUUGUUCUUUUUCUCAUUGUAGUUCAACCCCCAGCUCUUCCUCCAGCGGCCCCAUUCGUGCUCUGGCUCCUGUAGUUCCAUUGAGGUCAGCCCAUGAUAAUGAUAUCCUUCAGGUGAAUGACAUCCCAUUUGUGCUAACUGAGAUGGACGUAGAUAGUCUUCAUGACCAUUACAAGAUCUCCAAAGAGAUCUUCAUGAUUUCCGCUCCUAAUCUAAAUGUUCACGUAAAUGACCAGAUCACUGCUCAAGAUACCAUCAUGGUAUACGAGGAAUAGUUGAAGGUGGGUCUUCAUUUUUCGAUUGACCCAUUUUUCAUUGAAAUCCUCAAAAUCCAUAAACUGUAGUCGCCCAACUUCAUUCAAACAGUUGGAGGAUUCCCGUGGCCUUUCGAUUUGUGUGCUUCAAUAAUAAUAACAAUCUGAGAGUUGCUCUCUUCUCCCAGCUAUACUAGCUAGGAAUCCGGAGGAAUAAGGAGUUUUGGUUCUUCAGCGAAAAAAAGUCAGACUCUCUUUGACCAUAUCCUCUCUUCCUUGAAACAUUGAAAAAAUAAGUCUUUCAUUGUCUACCACCGAGUGUUCGGGGGCUUUAGACAACUCCAGACUGAUUGGAACAUUUAUGUGGAGCUCAAAAAGGGUGGAGUUCAACUAUAGAGAGACGAGGAAAAGGCUCUAGACUUCCUCUAGAAAAUGGCCUCGGUCCACAGAAUGGACAUUAACGUGGCCGUGAGGAACGCCACCUUAUCCUGGCAAAGCCACUUCCAAAUAGUGGAGUUCAACUGUAGAGAGACGAGGAAAAGGCUCUAGACUUCCUCUAGAAAAUGGCCUCGGUCCACAGAAUGGACAUUAACGUGGCCGUGAGGAACGCCACCUUAUCCUGGCAAAGCCACUUCCAAAUAGAACGAGCCCAGUUGCCUCGGCCAACCGGUUAUCAGAAACCAAGGAUGAUUUUAUUGUCUUCCUCAGAGUAAGGUAUUUUACUUUUUAACCAUUUUUACCUUUACAUUAUUUUACUUGCUCACUCUCUGUUUUAUGCAGAUAUGGCGGGUAAAGGAAAGAGCAAGUUUGCAAAGGUAGCUCGUGCUGCCCGAAAAAGAAAGUCCACUACUAGUACUGUGGGCCCUCCUCCAAAACGGGCAUGAUGGGCAGAAGAGAUUAUCAUUUUGCCUCCUCCUCCUCCUCCACCCUCAACUACAAUUGAGCCAUUUAUCAUCCAACUCGAGUCUUCCUCCAGGGAUGUUCCUCUAGUAUCGCCCCAUCAAUUCAGUGCACAAUACGAGGAGGCUAGAACUGGAGCCCUGUGGCCACAAGGCAUUCAACACUUGGCAAUGGCGCUGACCUAGGUGGACUCGCUUCUUGAGAAACCCCAGUUGUUAAUCCUUAUAGCCAAGAAUUCCUUGAGACCCAAUGACCGCCAUCGUCUGGGUGCUGUUGAGAUAGACGAACUAUAUGACAACAUCAUUCACUCUGCCAUGGAAAGCAUCCUAUGCACAUACUUAGCCAAGGAGCGGAACAAAGCUUUGAGGAGAGAGUUCAGUAGUCAGGAAACAGACAAAAACCUCCUUCGAGAGGAAUACUUAAGGCUGAAGGCUCGAAUCACCGAGGUAGAGAACACAAUGAACGAGACCCUCAAGUCUGUAGAUAAACUCCAGGCAGACCUAGAUGAAACCAACACUUCAAAGCUCGCCCUUGAGAAUCGAACUAAAACCGCCAAGGAUCAAGUGGCUAUCCUUCAACGGCAAGUCCAGGAGCAGUAGUCUCAUGCUCAAAAGAACCAAGCCAUCAUAGAUAGGGUGGCUGAACUGGAAGCUGAGCUUCAAUAGACAGUGGCUCGGGGUGGGAAAAUAUUUUUGGAAGGCCAAGAUUCUGUCAAGAAGGAGCUAAUCAAGCGUUAUCCUUCAAAAAACUUCUCUUGGAUCGAUGACAUUUUCCCAAAGGAGGAGGAAGAAGAGGAACAAGUAGAGGAGAGGCAAAAUAGCAACCAUUCUUUCGAUUCGACUUUAAUUGAAGAUGUCAUUAUAGUAGAAAAUAUAAUAGGAGCUCAAGAGGGGGUUAGCAAAGAAGACCCUCCUGCUUUAUAAUCUUUUCCCUCCAUUAAUGAGAAAAUAUUUUGUUCAUCUCGUCUUUAUUUUUAUCAAGUAUAAGGAUCGAUACCAACAACAUAAAAAUAACGGCGUAAAAUUAACUUAAAAUAUUUAAUGAUUUAAGCUAACACCCGAACCUUUGCUUGUCAGUUAUCCACCUCGAGGUUUAGACAAAAAAUGCCUUAAACUUUAUUAAUAGGUUUGAAACUCGGUCAUAUGUAUGACGAUUGCUCUCCUUGUAGUGUUCUUUGACAUAAAUUGCCUUAAUUCUUAUAUUUUAGGAUUAACACUCGAAAACUCGCUUAAUGGUCACUCGUCUUGUGGCGUUUUUUGAUAGAAAUUGUCUUAACCCUUGUCUUUUGGGGCUAAUACCUAAAGAUUCACUUGGCAGUCACUCGCCUUGUGGCUUGCCUGGCGAUUACCCGCCUUAUGGCAUUUUAUUUAGCCCAACGCUUUCAUGAAUCUAUCGUUUCUGAUAAUUCUAAUUUAAAUACUAAAAGAAUUGAAAAAUACAUCAUAAUUUUAUUGAUAAUAUUUCCAUGAAUUACACAAUACUCCAAGAAUAAAAAAUGACAUAGCCAUCUAACUUGACCAACUUAUAAUCAUUCGGACGAAUAACCUUGGAGACCUUAUAUAGUCCCUUCUGGUUUUCGCCUAACUCACUAGACUCGGCAUCCCUUCUUGUUAUGUCAAACUAUUUUAAGGAUUGGAUCUUCUAUGUUAAAGAUUCAGAUUUUGACUUAGGAAUUGAAUAUUAAUGACAUUUUAUUUCUACAAAACCUUGGUUUCCUUAUCGCUACUUGAUCCCCUGCAAUUAUGUGAAUAACCCCUACAGAUUCAUUUUCAUCAAGAUUGACCAGUGAUCUUACCUCAGGCUCUGACCCUUUUUCUUCUCUAUCUUUUAUAGCAAAUCUCAUUAUAGUUUCAUCUCUAAUGAGACUUUCAAUCUCGUCCUUUAGUUGCCUGCAUUCUUCUGUAGUGUGCCCAUGAUUUUCAUGAAAUCGACAAUACUUUAUUCUGUCCCACAUGUUCACUUUGUCUGGGUUAAGCUUGAUGGGCCAUUUGACCUCUUUGUCGUUUUUUCUAAUCCACAUCAAAACAUGUGUGCGUGAGUCAUUUAAAGGAGUGUAUUACUUACCUCGAUCUUCUUUCCCUCGAAACACGGGAUACCUCUUCCGAUCUCUUUUGUAGCCUUGCCUUUUUGGCUUCUAGGUUUUACUUUGACAUGUCUUCUUAUCCUCUCUUAGCGCCUAGACUUCAUCAUUCAACCAAAUGUAUUUUUGUGCCUUAUCCAUUAAUUGCUAAUAAGUGGCUAUUGGAUUCUUGAUUAACGAAUCCAUAAAUUUUAUGUUGCGAGUCCUUUUCUUUAAUUCCUCACAUGCUAUCUCGUGAUUCAAUUCUUCAAUCAGUAUUGCUUUAACAUUGAAACAUGAGAUAAAACUCCUUAAAGACUCGCGCUCUCCUUGUCGGAUUUUUCAUAAGUCGGAGGAGAUUUUUUUAGGAGAUAUACAAGUAGCAAACUUAGAUUUAAAUAAUAUAGCAAGUUGUGUAAAAUUGUAGAUAGAACUUGAACUCAAAUGCUGCUACUAUUUUUAGGCCAAACCUGUGAGAGUGGACGAGAAGACUCAGCACAAUACAAAUUCAUUGACAUCCUGGAGCUGCAUCGUAGUUCAGAAGAUAGCCAAAUGACUCCUAGGGUCUACCAUCCCGUCGUAUUUGUCCAAACUAGACAGCUUGAACUUUGUGGGAAAAGUCUUUGCAAGAAUUUCCUCUGAUAGGGGUGAAGAGUUGUCCAAACCAUAAUCUUCAUCUUGCUUCUUCUAGUACUACUUCCAAUUGACAUCUUUUGGGGUCUCGUCUGAUGAUUUCUCAUCUUCUAGUUUGGCCUUUCUUUUGGACUGCAUGUCUUUGGGGUCUCGAAAGAAACUUCCUCCCUUAUUCUGGGAGCCAUGAAUGAGGCCUUCUCCCGAGAUUUAUAUUGCUUGAGAGUUGCUUGGAGCUUUUUAAUGUAUUGUACAAUUUGCUCAUUGUUUGGAUUGUUGAGGUCUAUCUCAUUGACCAUGAGAGGAGUGUCCUGUCACUACCUGGGGUAUAGGAGACGAUGACUCCUUUGUUGGUAAUAGAUUUAGCCACAACUCAUGAGUUUUCAGCCAUUUUAAGGGUAAAGUGACAAAGAGGGAAAGCACUUUGAGUGAAAAGAUAAACAAAAAACUAAUCGGAUUUAUCCCAAAUGAACAAGAAAACUCAAUGGGUGAUCUCAGUAAUGUAACUAAAUGAUGUGGCUGAAAAUGAGCUAAAGAUGAUUGGUCACUCUACAAAAGAAAGAAAGUGAUGUGGUUGGCGCAUAUUGGCAAUCACUCUGACACUCAAGUUAAUAAUUUAUCAGAAAGGAUGAGUGUAAGUAAGUUGCUUGAACUUAAGAAAAGUGUGCAAUAAUGUGUACCUUGAACUCUGUGUAUACUUCUUUUACACUGUGAGAAAAUGGAGUUAGUUGGUGAUUUUCUUAGUAAUCCGACUAGUACCAGCCAGUGGAUAAGAAAUCUCGUGUUUGUAGGCGUAAUGGAGAUGUGCUGUAUAAUAUCUUUUAAUGGUAACUUAAAUGUUAAGAAAGACUCGACCAGUCAUAAAAGGGCGAGUUUUCUGUUGUUCCGAGUAUUGACCUUUACAAUGACCGGAUCUCCUCUCUUAUGGAAGAUUUUCAUGACCGAACGUCACAGUUUAUUAGAAUUUUGGCAUGUGGCUCCGUCGUAUGGUAAUAGCUAAUCGUAUACUUUGGACGGAUAUUAUAUUAUAUAAUUAUUGAUAUUUAAAAGUUUAAAAAUAAAUAGAUUAUUAAUUAAACUUAUUACAUCAAAAUCAGUUUGUAUUUAAAAGUAAAAUUCAAAUUUUUAUUUUAAAAAAAAUUAAUUAAACUUAUUUAGACAUUUUAUCAAAAAAAUAUUUGAUAAAAACCACAGACGAUCAUCAUGAUCGUAUGUUAAAUUAAAUUAAAUAAUAGAUGAACAUAGAUUUUAUUAAAUUAGACCCAAACGAACGAAUCCUCGCGGAUGAUCGUCGUAGAUCUGCAAAAAUCAUAAAAAAAGAAUAAAAAAAUAAAAA